This is a microRNA precursor of Gallus gallus (chicken), 58 nucleotides long. The record is from Ensembl. Lineage: Eukaryota; Metazoa; Chordata; Aves; Galliformes; Phasianidae.
CCUGCAGCUGCAUUUUCCCUAUGUGACCCGCUAGCACAGGGAGAUGUACCUGUAGGAG